Molecule: ribosomal RNA, 440 nt
Filed under: uncultured bacterium
Lineage: Bacteria
Description: partial 16S ribosomal RNA
Rfam family: Bacterial small subunit ribosomal RNA
Source: RNAcentral
CCUACGGGAGGCAGCAGUGGGGGAUAUUGCACAAUGGGGGGAACCCUGAUGCAGCGACGCCGCGUGGGUGAAGAAGCGCCUCGGCGCGUAAAGCCCUGUCAGCAGGGAAGAAAAUGACGGUACCUGAAGAAGAAGCCCCGGCUAACCACGUGCCAGCAGCCGCGGUAAUACGUAGGGGGCAAGCGUUAUCCGGAUUUACUGGGUGUAAAGGGGGCGCAGACGGCGAUGCAAGCCAGGAGUGAAAGCCCGGGGGCCAACCCCGGGACUGCUCUUGGAACUGCGUGGCUGGAGUGCAGGAGGGGCAGGCGGAAUUCCUGGUGUAGCGGUGAAAUGCGUAGAUAUCAGGAGGAACACCGGUGGCGAAGGCGGCCUGCUGGACUGCAACUGACGUUGAGGCCCGAAAGCGUGGGGAGCAAACAGGAUUAGAUACCCUUGUAGUC